This 6139-nucleotide long non-coding RNA is filed under the name Daucus carota (carrot). RNAcentral describes it as "long non-coding RNA (DCAR_LNC002586)". The record is from RNAcentral. Lineage: Eukaryota; Viridiplantae; Streptophyta; Magnoliopsida; Apiales; Apiaceae.
AGCUUCUCGUGGUGGAAACUCAUCAUCUUUGCAUUUCUUUGUCACAGGAGCUCCACACAACGCCAAGUUGCCUAGGAAUGAAUCUUUAGUAAAAGUAUCGAAAUGCCUGCCUUGUGGAAUUUCUCCAGAAAGAUUGUUGGUUGAAAGGUUCAAGGUUGAAAGAAAUUCCAAAGUACUCAAUUGCCGAGGAAUCUUACUUGUCAUUCGAUUUGAAGAGAAAUCUAAAGAUUCGAGGAGACUCAUGUUUCCCAAUGAGGAUGGGAUAUGGCCCGUAAGACUGUUAUGGGAAAGGUUGAGCAGUCGAAGUGAUUUAAAUUCACCAAUGGUCUCUGAAACUUCUCCAGUAAACUUGUUGCUUGAUAAAUCUAUACUUGUGUAUAUAUAGAGAAUUUUUUUCACUUCAAGCUCUAUUCCUUUGACAACUAGCGAAACAGAAGCUUCAUAAAAGGAACCGCUUAGGAUACUGGUAUUUAAACCAACUCCUUCAUCUGAGUCAUCCAUAAGUUUAAAAUUAUCAAAAAAGUUGAUUGGUAGAUUGCCACUGAAUUGAUUGUGAGAGAGAUCCAUGAUGCGCAACUGGGAAAAUGGAUUUUCCAUCUUUUUAACACUUAUGUUGCCAUGAAAUCUGUUUGACCGCAAGACAAGAAUUUGUAGCUGUGGAAGAGCCGCCAACCAUGAUGGAAAAGAGUCCUUUAUUUUGUUGUUUCCAAAAUCUAGAAUUUGUAAUUGCUUACAAUUGGCCAAGGUCGAGGGUAUUGAUCCUUCAAUGUGAUUGUUGUUGAUGUUGAAAGUAGUCAAUUUACAUGAGUUUGCGAUGAUUUGUGGUAUUGUCCCUUGAAGUUGAUUAUCAUGAAGAUCGAGAAUAUUAAGAUCAAUGCUCGUAUUUGUGAACAAACAGUGUGGAAGUGCACCCCCUAACAUGUUACUUGACAAAUCAAGAACCCAAAUUUCCGUCGUACAAAAUGUUGGUAUUAUCCCUUUAAAUUGAUUCUUGCUGAGAUUGACUACUAUAGUCUGGUUAAGAUUUUCCAGGCAACGGGGAAGUGAACCUUUUAAUUCAUUACUUGACAAAUCAAGAUAUCGAAGAGAUGUCACUUUGCACAGUGUUGGGGGAACUUCUCCUGUCAAUAUCAGAAAAAUAGUAAAAAUAAUUAGAAAAAGUGAUAGGUUUGUUAAAUUUCCAAUAUUGGUCUAGAUUCUCACCAAACAAUAUUAAUAAAUAGUCUAUAUAAACACAAAGGAAAAUAAAAUAAAAAUAAAAGGGGAGCAAACAUGUUAAAAAGUUGUAGAGCUUACCAGAAAAGUUAUUCCUCGAUAAAUUGAUGUCAGACAAGCUGGGUGUAUGGUUCCCAAAGUUAGUAGGAAUGAUGCCGCACAACCUAUUAGAAGAAAGGUUAAGGGAUUCCAAUGUACCUAAAUAAGGAACUGGAUCAGGCAGCUCUCCUGUCAAUUGGUUAUUUUCGAGAUUAAGAUAGUGGAACAGUAGGUUCCAAAUCUCAGGUGGAAUAGUUCCACUCAAUUGGUUAUUUCCGAGAUCAAGAUCAUCGAGCAUUGUUAAGUUCCCAAUCUCAGAUGGAAUAGUUCCAUUCAAUUGGUUGUUGCUGAGAUCAAGAUAUGUCAAAUCUAUCAAGAGACCAAUAUCAGGUGGAAUAAUUCCUGUCAAUUGGUUGGUCUUGAGAUUAAGAGAAUCAAGCAGUGUUAAGUUCCGAAUCUCAGGUGGAAUAGUUCCACUUAGAUUAUUGGAGUGCAGACGUAACCAUUCCAAUUUGACCAGGUUCCAAAUUGUUGCUGGAACUGAACCUUCUAGAUGGUUUUGAGACAAGUAUAAUCCCUGAAGCUGAUUCAAGUUCCCUAUCUCUCUGGGAAUUGUUCCUUUAAGAUCAUUAUCUUGCAGAUAGAGGCUUGUAAGAUUUGUCAACAUACCAAUUUCAGAAGGAAUAUUACCACUCAAGGCAUUGCCUCCUAUGUGCAGUAAUUUUAACUCGGUCCAUUUGGUGAAGAGAUUAGGGGAGAGCUCACCAGAAAGAUAAUUGUCAUCUAGGUAUAGUUCAGAAAUCUGGGUUAGAUUCGAAAAGGAGUAAGGCAGAGGCCCAGCAAGAGAAUUAUGAGAUAGAGACAAGACAUUGAGCCUGGUACACAACCCAAGCUCAGGGGGAAUGCUAGAGUUCAAAUUGUUAUCACCAAGAUCAAGUUCUUGAAGCUCCGUAAGUUGACCUAUGAAGGAGGGAAUAUUCCCUGCAAAGGAAUCAUCAAACAAAUAAACAACUUUAUUUUAAUUGCGACUCCGGGAAAUACAACUCUGAUUUUUUUGUAACUUCUGGACAUGACUAAUUUAGUAAGGAAUGUUACCAUCUAUAUUGUUGCUGCUGAGAUCCAAGUGCUGAAGUUGUGUUGCAUUUCCAAUAUCUACUGGUAUACUGCCUGAUAAGUUGUUGCCGCUCAUGUCCAAAUAAGUGAGACUUGGAAAUGAGGAGAAGUUGAAGUGAGCAAGUGUUCCAGAGAUUCUUAGAUAGUAAAUGUUGAGCUCAGAAACUGUUCCUGCAGUAUUGCAGGUAAUGCCAGUCCAAUUACAAAGGUAACUGAGAUUGUUUGAAGACCAAGAAUUGAGUGAAGAAGAGCUGAAUAAAGUGUCCUUCCAUUUGACAAGGGCUUCUCCUUGGGUGGUUGGUGAUGAUACUAUAUUUAGUGGAAGUACAACAAGGAAUAGUACAAGAAGAAGAGACUUGUUAACUAUUCCCAUGAUUGUUUACUCCGUUCCUGUAUUUUGUGGAGUAACAUACUAUGGGAUUUAUAGAACUCACAUGUGAACUGAAGGCCAAGGGUUUGCUCUGCAACUGAUUACUCUCAGUGACUUUCCUUGAAAUGGCUGUUCAAGCUGCUUUUGCUACGCGGACUUACUGUUUUUCGACAAGAACUUUAAAUAACACAAAGUAAGGACUUUAUAUUAAUUUACGUUAGUUCAGUCACAUUUCUGCUGUUAAUUCUAUAUACACGUUCCUACUUUCUAUGUUUUUUAGGAAUCAUAUAGUCUAGAAAAGGAGACCAGGUCCUGGAUUUACUUUACUAACAAAUCCAAUAAACAAAUAACCCACUAUAACAAAUCAAAUAUUGAAAGGUUCUUCCAUGAUCGUUAAAUUAUACUCCCUCCGUCCCACCCAUUUCUUAUCAAAUGGGUUGGGCACGGAGGUUAAGGAAUAUGAAUAAAAUAGUUGAAAAGAGGAAGAAAAGUGGGUAAAGUGGUGGGACCCAUUAAUUUUUAAUGUAUAAAAAGAAGAUAGUGGAGUAAAAGUAGUGUGAAAAGGAAAAAAAAGUGAAGAAGUAGUGGGACACAUUUACUAUUUUUGGUAAGUUUUGAAAUGUAAAGAAUUGGAUGGGACACCCAAAAAAAGAAAGUGUAAAGAAAUGGGUGAGACGGAGGGAGUAUAUGGCUAGUGUUUUCUCUUUAGUCAAAGCUGGCAUGACUUGAUUUAUUAGCUCAUAAGUUUGGUAGAUAAUCAGAGCUGUAAACAUGAGAGUUGGGCCAGUACAGCAUAGUAUCUUGUGGAAGAUGUUCCUGUAUUACUGGGUCUGGAAGAUGUAGCAGAUGUAAAGAAUGUUGACCCACUACUUUUGCUUUUCCUUAUAGCUCAUAAUAAAACAAGAAGCAAAGACUUAUAGAGUCAAGUCAAUGAUGCCCGACAAAGAAACCUGGAGACUAGUGACAUGAAAGAUGAAGCUGCCCUGAGAACUGCGGAGAAAAGUAUUCUUGCAGAAAUAAUUGCUUUAGUCCCACUACACUGGCUUGACUUCACAAGGUCUUUGGUGGGUGAGAGAUCACAGCUCAUGUUUCAGUUUUGUAACCGAUCUAAAAAUAUAAUUUCGGGUUAUUCCGGAAAUUUGAUUUAUAACCGAAAUCAAAUGAAAGCAAGGUACAUAUUAGUGAUGAGAAUUCAGCAAACUAGCAGCAAAUAACUUAUCACAUUUGUCUGUGUUAGAGCAUCUCCUAUCAUGAAAAUACCUUGGCUAAAAGUCUACAUUAGAGCAUCAGGUUCACUAUAAUGGUUAGUUAAAGUGAUAUAAAAUAUUGAUUAAUUAAAUAUGAUUUGCAAGAUUUGUAUAAGCACGUCCAACAAAAUCUUAAACAUGGACUGAGACACGUCUGGAGUAUCAUUUUUGAAGCAGGAGCUAUUGAAGUGGGCACUUUCCCCAGUGAAGGGCAAAGAAUGACAUGUAAAGCGAUUAAGAGUUGGAGGGCCAAAGUCGAAUGAAGACCAUUGGCCUGUAUAUGCGCAUUAGAGCAACAAUUAAGAAGUUCUAGCGAGGAAAAUGGUGCGGUUGAAGAGAAUGGGGAGAGUUGGGAAGCAAAGGGCUUAUGUGUUAUCACUGUCCAUUUUCCUUACUAUUUGAUGUAUAUAAUAAUUUCCAUCUUCCAUCAAUUGCUUAUCUGGUCUGGUACAGAAUGAUUCAUAUCUAGUAGGAAGCAGAACAGUCAAAUAGGGAAAAAAAACUGUGAACAUCAUCUUCAAGAAAAGAAAUGAAGAAAAACAUUUUCCCAACUAAACAGAGUUUUAGAUUAACUUUUGUUUUUAAUCUCCAGUUGUUUUUGUAGCACCUAAAAAGCUACUCCCUCCGUUCUCUUGAGUUUUAUACAUUGGGCGACGGGGACGUGACACGUACUUUAAUGCUCCUAUAAAGUAUAGUUCUAUAACUUUUUCUUAAGAUUUUUUUUUUUCUGAAUAAAAGUUUGAAUGUUAUAUUUUUAUUCAGAAAAAGAAAAUUUUAAGAAUAAGUUAUAGAACCACAUUUUACAAGAGCAUUGAAGUGCGUGUCGAGCAGUGAAAAAGAAACGUAUAGAAUUAAAUGGGACAGAGGGAGUAUGGAUUUAUACAUUCUUGACACUUGACAUGCUCAGUUCUUAGCUAAUAAUAAAACAGGGAGCAAAGACUUGCUAGUUAGCAAUGGGCAUGAAGCACUAAUGCUACGCAGACUUACAGUCUUUCAAUUUUACUGGAUUUUCGUUACUAACACACCCACUAUAACCCUGUAAUUAUGAAUGAGAACAAAAAGGUUCGUCCAUUAACUUGUAAUACUUUCAAAAAAUGAAAGGUUCUUCCCGGAUCUACGUAAUGGAUGGAAAUUAAAGAGUCUACCCUCAAGUUAGUCGCAUUGAACUUGCAAGAGACUCUGAACCCUAGCUACCCGUUUGUUUUUUUUAGUACAGUUUUUGAGAAAGGUUGCAAAAGCCUCAAAAGCUUUAGUUACCUAAGCAAAUCUUGGUACGUUCCACAACAAGCUCCUCGCUGCCAUAUGCAGUAAUAGGGGGGCAAGACUCUAUUAAAGGUAUUGAUAAACAACAUCUCUGACUGUCGCGCAACGUUUGAUUUACUCUCACUUUUUUGGUAGACUCGUAAAUGAGGGAUGCUGAUUUCUAUGUUCUCAGCAGAAGAUUUUCUUUUAGGAUAAUGAAUCAUAUAAUAUCUCAUCUUAAACACAGCUGAUAGCUACAAAUUACAGUUGGAUAGUAGAAUCUAGAUAUUUUUGGCACUUGACAUACUUAUAUUUGUCACUUCAGUUAUGCACACUGAUAAACUUGCAUGUUUAUCUUUUUAUAAUGAAAGCGAACAUACUGAAACAGAACAAAUUUAUUUGGAGUGGCGACAAUUAAUUCAGUACAGUGUGGAAAAUGUGGUUUAAGUGUUCAUCAUCAAUCUCCUGAUCAGUUUAUGCUGAGCUCUUUCAAUGAUACUCACAAACCACCAAGGCUUUAAUGUUGUAAAAACAAUGUAUCCUGUGGACAAUCCGCAUACCAAUCCUAUUCCAUACCCGAUCAGUAUCAUUUUCCAAUCAAACCAAAUAUAGUCAACAUCGUCAUCAGCUUCUCGUGGUGGAAACUCAUCAUCUUUGCAUUUCUUUGUCACAGGAGCUCCACACAACGCCAAGUUGCCUAGGAAUGAAUCUUUAGUAAAAGUAUCGAAAUGCCUGCCUUGUGGAAUUUCUCCAGAAAGAUUGUUGGUUGAAAGGUUCAAGGUUGAAAGAAAUUCCAAAGUACUCAAUUGCCGAGGAAUCAUACCUGUCAUUCGAUUUGAAGAGAAAUCUAAAGAUUCAAGGAGACUCAUGUUUCCCAAUGAGGAUGGGAUAUGGCCCGUAAGACUGUUAUGAG